Molecule: long non-coding RNA, 920 nt
Organism: Monodelphis domestica (gray short-tailed opossum)
Lineage: Eukaryota; Metazoa; Chordata; Mammalia; Didelphimorphia; Didelphidae
Source: RefSeq, a predicted model, not a curated record
UUCAAAAGGAGAAACUCCCCUAUCACCACUCCAGAUCAAGUAGAUUAGCUUGUGGGCUAAUCUAAUAAAACAGAAAUCAGAAAAGAUGAGGAAACUGAAGCAAACAGUUAAGUGACUUGCCCAAAGAACACAGCUAGACCAGUUAUGAGAUUAGAGAUCAUCACCCAUCUGAGGAGAAGGCAACACCAUACUUACUCACCAGAGGACAGCUUCUGCAUUACUUCCACAACCAGGCCUCUAGUCAACAUUACGUCCAGCUCAGCGACGACAUCCUAAAAUAACAUAGAUAAUGAUCCCUAAGAGUGUCUGCUGGAAAUACUCUCCUCACGAUAGAACAAGACAAAAGAGUUUUCAAGUUCCCCAGUUGCAUCCCAAACCUGUACCAUUAAGACUACAAUUACCCAAGAGCUCUCAUGAUCCCAUGAAUAACUCCCUUAGACAUGAGUUACCUACACCCUGGACAAAGGUUAGUGAAACUUCAGUUUCCUACUGUUUGGACCUUGUCCCUGUUCCAGAGUGGGAGCUGAUCCAUUCUCCUCCAAAUCUCCCUCUUGUUCCUGAGGCAACAGAGGUUGUAAUUGUCCAAAGCCCCUCACCUCCACGAAGGUCUAGCUUAAACAGGUAUAGUUAUCUAACCCACUGCUUCCCAUUAAGUUACCAGGCAACCAAAAACACUCCAAUGAAAUCCUUGAAAAUUCCAAAGUCCAAGGAUUCCAACUUCUGUCAAGAUUUUAGGAGAUCUUCAAAGGAAAACGAACAAGUUUUAAGUCCUUUUCACAUUGACCUGGCUCCCUUAGUGUUCAGUGAGCAGCUAUAUCCAUUUACUCGAAAGAGUCAUGCCUCUAAGGAAGUAGAUAUUCCUGUACCUCUUUGGUCUUCUUAGUCCCAGUGACUUAAUAAAUCUCUGAUUGUAAAUCAAA